Molecule: long non-coding RNA, 1754 nt
Filed under: Medicago truncatula (barrel medic)
Lineage: Eukaryota; Viridiplantae; Streptophyta; Magnoliopsida; Fabales; Fabaceae
Description: long non-coding RNA (MTRU_LNC007736)
Source: RNAcentral
UUAUUAUUAUUAGUCAGUCAAUGUCACUAAUUAUAUGGUCCCUCACCUAAAUCUAAACGAGAAAAAUAUUUAUUAUUUAUCCGUAAAAAGUUGAUGUAGACCAUACACCACUUUGCUCAUAUUACUAGAAUAGUCAAAUUUUGCCAAAAGCAUGUAAACACAUUUUGAAGGGUUGAAUCAUGAAUAUUGAAUACUCACCGGUUCUCUUAAGUCAUUUAUCUGAUUAUGGAUAUUUUUGUUUAAGUUUCCAAAUGAAAUGAUAAAUUAUUAAUAAUUAGUUUACUCAAUGGCAAUAUGUGUCAAAAAUCAUUUGUUAUUUUCCAAAAUCGUUCACUCAUAAUUAAAUUAUUUUAUUCUUUACACCAUUCCCAUUAAUCCUUACAUGAGACAGAAAAAUUAAAGUAUAUAAGAGUAUUUUUGUCAGUAGAUAGUUAAUGUAUAAUGUGUCUCAUAAAUAAUUGACAGACAAAUAUUAAAAAGAAAUAUUAUAUUAUAUUAUAUUUAAUGAUGGAGGAAUUACACUGCAAUACGAAGGUGACGAAAUAAAUUAUGCGAUAAUAAUAUUGUAGAGGAGAUUAAAUAAAAAAGCUUACAUGCAUAGAGAUAUGGUAAAUCGACCACUAUCUAAGAGUGGUAAGGAGGGGGUGGAGAUGCAUAGAUGUAACUGUGAACUGGUGGUGGAGGAGAGUGAUAAACUGGGUGUGGAGUGUAGGGAGGAUGAACUGGUGGAGAGUGGUAAACUGGUUUUGGAGUGUAAGGAGGGUGAACUGGUGGUGGAGGGGAUGAGUAUUUGUAUGGCUUCUUUGGUGGUGGUGGAGAGUGGUAGUAGGGCUUAGGGCUGACGUGAUGCACUGGUGGAGGAGGAGAGGAAUAUUUGUAUGGCUUCUUUGGUGGUGGUGGGGAAUGGUAGUAAGGUUUAGGGCUUAACAUGCACUGGUGGUGGAGGAGAAGAAUAUUUGUAUGGUUUCUUUGGGGGUGGUGGAGAAUGGUAGUAAGGUUUAGGGUGGACAUAUGGUGGAGGAGGAGAAGAAUACUUGUAAGGUUUCUUUGGUGGUGGUGGUGGUGAACUGUAAUGGUAGGGAGGAGGAGGUGUAUAAACGGUGGGGGUGGAGAGUGGUAGUAGUAUGGUUUCUUAGGUGGUGAGUACACUGGUGGUGGUGGUGAAGAGUAAUGGUAAGGUGGUUUAACUGGAGGGUACACCCCCGGUGGUGGGGAAUGUGGAGGGUACACCUUAGGUGGUGGUGGAGAACUAUAAUGGUAAGGUGGUGAGACUGGUGGAUACACCUCAGGUGGUGGUGAAUGUGGAGGGUAUUUCUUAGGUGGUGGUGGGGAAGAGUAAUGGUAAGGUGGUUUAACUGGUGGGUACACCUUGGGUGGUGGUGAAUGUGGAGGGUACACCUUAGGAGGUGGUGGUGAAGAGUAAUGGUAAGGUGGUGAAACUGGAGGAUACACCUUAGGUGGUGGUGAAUGAGGAGGAUACUUCUUAGGUGGUGGUGGUGAAGAGUAAUGGUAAGGUGGUGAAACUGGAGGGUACACCUUAGGUGGUGGUGAAUGUGGAGGGUACACCUUAGGUGGUGGUGGUGAAGGGUAGUGGUAAGGUGGGGAAACUGGAGGGUAGACCUUAGAAGGUGGAGGAGGUGAAGAAUACAAGUAGCUGUUUGCUGAAAUUUGAGAUGUAUGGAGAGAGACACUAUUAUGGCUAAUAGAAGAGUCAAAGUGGCAGAGGCCAUUGGAGACCUCAUUUUUUUUUUUUU